GGUAGUCCACGCCGUAAACGAUGUCGACUUGGAGGUUGUGCCCUUGAGGCGUGGCUUCCGGAGCUAACGCGUUAAGUCGACCGCCUGGGGAGUACGGCCGCAAGGUUAAAACUCAAAUGAAUUGACGGGGGCCCGCACAAGCGGUGGAGCAUGUGGUUUAAUUCGAUGCAACGCGAAGAACCUUACCUACUCUUGACAUCCAGAGAACUUAGCAGAGAUGCUUUGGUGCCUUCGGGAACUCUGAGACAGGUGCUGCAUGGCUGUCGUCAGCUCGUGUUGUGAAAUGUUGGGUUAAGUCCCGCAACGAGCGCAACCCUUAUCCUUUGUUGCCUGCGGUUAGGCCGGGAACUCAAAGGAGGCUGCCAGUGAUAAACUGGAGGAAGGUGGGGAUGACGUCAAGUCAUCAUGGCCCUUACGAGUAGGGCUACACACGUGCUACAAUGGCGCAUACAAAGAGAAGCGACCUCGCGAGAGCAAGCGGACCUCAUAAAGUGCGUCGUAGUCCGGAUUGGAGUCUGCAACUCGACUCCAUGAAGUCGGAAUCGCUAGUAAUCGUAGAUCAGAAUGCUACGGUGAAUACGUUCCCGGGCCUUGUACACACCGCCCGUCACACCAUGGGAGUGGGUUGCAAAAGAAGUAGGUAGCUUAACCUUCGGGAGGGCGCUUACCACUUUGUGAUUCAUGACUGGGGUGAAGUCGUAACAAGGUAACCGUAGGGGAACCUGC
RNAcentral lists this ribosomal RNA (726 nucleotides) under uncultured bacterium. Its description in RNAcentral is "bacterial SSU rRNA". It matches the Rfam family "Bacterial small subunit ribosomal RNA", at positions 789 to 1515 of the family's 1533-position model. The record is from RNAcentral.